Molecule: ribosomal RNA, 425 nt
Filed under: uncultured bacterium
Lineage: Bacteria
Description: bacterial SSU rRNA
Rfam family: Bacterial small subunit ribosomal RNA
Source: RNAcentral
GAAUUUUGGACAAUGGGGGCAACCCUGAUCCAGCCAUGCCGCGUUCGGGAAGAAGGCCUUCGGGUUGUAAACCGCUUUUGUCGGGGAAGAAACGCUCCCGGCUCAUACCUUGGCGUAAUGACGGUACCCGAAGAAUAAGCACCGGCUAACUACGUGCCAGCAGCCGCGGUAAUACGUAGGGUGCAAGCGUUAAUCGGAAUUACUGGGCGUAAAGCGUGCGCAGGCGGUCAUGCAAGACAGAUGUGAAAUCCCCGGGCUCAACCUGGGAACUGCAUUUGUGACUGCAUGGCUGGAGUUCGGCAGAGGGGGAUGGAAUUCCGCGUGUAGCAGUGAAAUGCGUAGAUAUGCGGAGGAACACCAAUGGCGAAGGCAAUCCCCUGGGCCUGUACUGACGCUCAUGCACGAAAGCGUGGGGAGCAAACAGG